RNAcentral lists this ribosomal RNA (117 nucleotides) under Vigna angularis (adzuki bean). The record is from RNAcentral. Lineage: Eukaryota; Viridiplantae; Streptophyta; Magnoliopsida; Fabales; Fabaceae.
AGGUGCGAUCAUACCAGCGCUAAUGCACCAGAUCCCAUCAGAACUCCGCAGUUAAGCGGGCUUGGGCGAGAGUAGAACUAGGAUGGGUGACCUCCUGGGAAGUCCUCGUGUUGCACC